Long non-coding RNA from Heterocephalus glaber (naked mole-rat), 1195 nucleotides. The record is from Ensembl. NCBI's taxonomy places the organism in Eukaryota, Metazoa, Chordata, Mammalia, Rodentia, Bathyergidae.
AAGUUUUCUAAAGUGGCUGUGAGUGUAGCUCAGUGCAAAACCCUGGGUUCAAUUACUAGUAUGGAAAUUAAUAGUAAUAGUAAUAAAGCAAUCACUCUGUUUCUAUCAUAGAGAAUAAAUGUGGUCCAUUAUCAUAUGUCUGCAUUCCAGUUUGACUAUAUUUUUAAAUAGAAUUAAAAGCCAAAAUCCCUUUCCUUACUCUAUCUGCUAAGAAUCUCAGCUACUUCGAACCAUAAAUAACAUCUUCAACUUCUUGCUUCUUUCUCAUGUCAAAUAUGGAAGAGAAAUCAGGCAGGAAGACGGUGAUGGGGGUGAGGGCCCUUCCAGUCAUCAGCUGGUUGAGGGCCCAAGGCUCCUGCCUCCUGACCUUGGAUCAUCCCACAGUCUGUUGGGCAGAAUGCCCCAAGCAGUGGUGUCUUUAGGUCUGGCAUUAUGGAUGAAGAAGGAAAAACAUUUAAAUAUUAAAAACAGACUUGGUGACUACUCUUGAUAGCUGAUCAUAUAAAGGAGAAGAAUAAGAGCCAUCCAGCGAACUGGAAUAAAGUCCACAGGCAGACAAAUGACUCUGUCAUGACUGUACAGCUCUAUACCAUGAUACCUAUCUCAAGUUCUCAACGGAAUUGGAUUAAGACAAUGUCCUGUUGACAUGAGACAAUAUGAAAAGAAAAGGAUGGACAGCAUACAGGAUCAGGAGACCACAUGUUCGUAUUAACAAUUUCAAACACCAUCAUAAACAAGAUUCAGCGUUGCAUUCUGUUGUUGAAGGUAGAUGCAGGAGAAAGGCAGAAAACAUGGCAAAUUUUCUGGAAGCUUUUCACUGGAUUAUUUCCUUAGUUUUGAUGUAAUGUCUCCACACCCUUCAGAUAUCUUUCUGAAGAUCCCAAGACCCUUCAGAAAACCUCUACUACAUACUUAAGAGGCAUCUUCAAAUCAACACUGCCAGAAACACUGCAGUGGUGACUCCUUCUUCUGAGGUCAGAACCCCAAGAGAUAAAAUUCCAUCAGGUGGGGAUAAAUAGGUUCCUCAGCUCCAAGUGAAGACCUCUAAUCCAACAUAAUGUUUGAAGGCUGAGCCACAGACUUUCUUCUAGAUAUCAGUGCUCCUCACAGUAGAGUCACUAUGAGUGCCUCCACAGCCUCAGACUCCAGCUGUGCCCCAGACUGUCCAAAAUUGGUGAAUGCAAAAGACACAGGC